UACAGAGGUCUCAAGCGUUGCUCGGAUUCAUUGGGCGUAAAGGGUGUGUAGGCGGUUCUCUAAGUCUGGUGUGAAAUCUCCCGGCUCAACUGGGAGGGUGCGCCGAAAACUGGAGGACUAGAGUGCGGGAUGGGAGAGUGGAAUUCCUGGUGUAGCGGUGAAAUGCGUAGAUAUCAGGAGGAACACCUGUGGUGUAGACGGCUCUCUGGACCGCAACUGACGCUGAGACACGAAAGCGUGGGUAGCAAACAGG
RNAcentral lists this ribosomal RNA (253 nucleotides) under uncultured bacterium. RNAcentral's name for it is "partial 16S ribosomal RNA". It matches the Rfam family "Bacterial small subunit ribosomal RNA", at positions 524 to 776 of the family's 1533-position model. The record is from RNAcentral.